CCCUACGGGGSGCAYCAGGCGCGAAAACUUUACAAUGCCGGCAACGGCGAUAAGGGGACCUCGAGUGCCAGGUUACAAAUCUGGCUGUCGCGAUGCCUAAAGAGCAUUGCAUAGCAAGGGCCGGGCAAGACCGGUGCCAGCCGCCGCGGUAACACCGGCGGCUCGAGUGGUAACCGUUAUUAUUGGGUCUAAAGGGUCUGUAGCCGGCCGGGUAAGUCUCUUGGGAAAUCCAGCAGCUCAACUGUUGGGCUUUCAGGAGAUACUGCCUGGCUCGAGGCCGGGAGAGGUGAGAGGUACUUCAGGGGUAGGGGUGAAAUCUUGUAAUCCUUGAAGGACCACCAGUGGCGAAGGCGUCUCACCAGAACGGACCUGACGGCAAGGGACGAAAGCUAGGGGCACGAACCGGAUUAGAUACCCGGGUAGUCCUAGCCGUAAACGAUACUCGCUAGGUGUCGGCCACGGUGCGACCGUGGUCGGUGCCGUAGGGAAGCCGUGAAGCGAGCC
This 504-nucleotide ribosomal RNA is filed under the name uncultured archaeon. RNAcentral's name for it is "bacterial SSU rRNA". It matches the Rfam family "Archaeal small subunit ribosomal RNA", at positions 321 to 825 of the family's 1478-position model. The record is from RNAcentral.